CAACUGCUCCGAAGCCUGCCCAGGGCUCUAGGUGACCCCCGAAUUCGAGCGUGCUGAGGAACUGGCACAGGCGAUGCUUUGGCACCCGCGCUCGGGGAGGAGCUGCGGUGCCCGUCAGGCUCGCUUUCCCUUACCCUCCUUCCUGUGCAAGAAGAGGGCGAGCCAUGCUGAGAGCCCUGCGGAGGCGCUGGGAGACCUACAAGUACCGCUUCGUGCCAUGGAUCGCGCUCAAUCUCCGCCACAAGCGCAGAACUCUGCGGUUUGUCCCAGAAGAAUCUAAAGACAAAAUUGUUUCUGAUGAAGAUGUCCUACAAAUGCUACUGAAAACAUUUCGAGCUUUAUUUGUAAAUGACUUGGGCAGACAAAUGUUUCUUCUUAACUUUCUUCCAGAAGUUAAAUCCAAAUACCCAGCACUAGAGGCAGCUCAGCCCGAGACAUCCAAAGUAAUGGAUGACAACCAACAGAAUCAAAUCAUCUUCAAUCCAGAAGACAUUCUGCUUAAUACAUUAGGAUUCAGCAUUACCCGAAAGGCCAGUUCACUGAUUUCUGCUGGAACAGGAGUCUUUGUAACCAAAGGUUUUGUUCCAAAAGGAACAGUUGUAUCUAUGUAUCCUGGUACAGUCUAUGAAAAGUAUGAGCCUAUAUUUUUCCAGUCCAUUGGUAAUCCAUUUAUAUUUAGAUGCAUAGAUGGGGUGCUUAUUGAUGGGAAUGACAAGGGAAUAUCAAAGGCUAUAUAUAGAUCAUGCAGCAAAAGAGAUCAACUUGGUCCAUUGAAAAUGAGUGAUGUCUUUUGGCUUACGAAUAGGGUGCAGAAUCCACUGGCAGUGGGGCAAUAUGUCAACAACUGCUCAACAGACAAAGCAGCCAAUGUAUGUUACCAGGAAUUUGAUGUACCUGGAUGUUUUCCGAUAGAAUUGAAACAGUAUCUUCCAAACAUAAACUACAGCCAUGAAAUACAGAGGCCCCUGAGAUGUGUUGUUCUGGUUGCUCUCCAAAACAUCAGGCCAGGAGAAGAACUUUUCUCAAAUUAUUACACAAUUAUCAGCUGAGCUGGAGGAACCGUUGAUUGGAUAGAUUUCGACUCCUAAGGUAUUUAUAUGGAAUGCAUACCAGGAUGGGGACGUUGGUGCAUCCUUCUAACAAAAGAGGAAUUAAUGACCAGGCUGCAGUUGUGAAGAUGGCCAAAGGGAUGGUGAAGGACCACAGGAAGUUGCAUAAUUACUGUUUCAUCUGCUGAGAUUUGACAGCAGCACACUUACUCCCCUAGAAGAAUCUGCUUGUACACCAGAGCAAAGCUAAUGGCACGGACUGAAUCAGAGGAAGUCAGGAAUGGCCUUGGACCCACAGAAUCCAAAGACUCCCUUGUACCUCUGACUCCCCCGCUCCCCACCGCUAAAAUGGCCCUCAAAGUUCACACUGUUAAUUCCCCUUAUUGAAAUCAAUGUAGACUGGGGAUAAGAAUGAAUGAAUAAGUGGUCCCAGCUACUCUCCUGCACAGUGAGUUGGCAGGGCUUUAGAUGUGGUGGGUGAACAUCCUGGAAGAUCUUCAUAUUUUCUGAUUCUUCUCUUAGGCUCCAAUCUCUAUACCCACUCACCUGGGAUUCAAGUCUUGAAGUGUGCCAAGCACUGAACACAACGAGGUUUACUUUUAAGUGGACUUGUAUAGAAAUGGAUUUUGCAUGUGGAAGUUGAGUAGAUAAAAAAAUGUCUCCCUCUGCAAUCUUAUAUUAUGGACACAGGCAUUGGGAGCGGAAGAGAAAGGUCAGCCUGUUUAUAGUGGUUGCUGCUUUUAAGGAGCACUGACAGUGAUUAAAAUCCACUAUGUAGCAUAAACCUAGAA
RNA transcript from Elgaria multicarinata webbii, 1840 nucleotides. It is a transcript of the gene named SET domain containing 9, with no coding region annotated. The record is from RefSeq and is a predicted model, not a curated record. The transcript is spliced from 7 exons. Lineage: Eukaryota; Metazoa; Chordata; Lepidosauria; Squamata; Anguidae.